Molecule: transfer RNA, 73 nt
Filed under: Candidatus Wallbacteria bacterium GWC2_49_35
Lineage: Bacteria; Candidatus Walliibacteriota
Also listed under: 2 other names
Description: tRNA-His
Rfam family: tRNA
About the family: Transfer RNA (tRNA) molecules are approximately 80 nucleotides in length. Their secondary structure includes four short double-helical elements and three loops (D, anti-codon, and T loops).
Source: RNAcentral
GCGAAUGUAGCUCAGUGGUUAGAGUACCAGAUUGUGGAUCUGGGCGUCGCGGGUUCAAAUCCCGUCAUUCGCC